RNAcentral lists this ribosomal RNA (1039 nucleotides) under Calisoga sp. L DHL-215. Its description in RNAcentral is "partial 12S ribosomal RNA". Lineage: Eukaryota; Metazoa; Arthropoda; Arachnida; Araneae; Nemesiidae. The record is from RNAcentral.
UCUUUCCCAUAAAGGUAAUUCAACCUAUCCCAUUUGGCGGCCUUCAAUCUUAUUAAAGGAACUUGUUGAUUAACCGAUGAUACGCGAUAUUUUUAACUUAAACCUAAUUUUUAUACCGCCGUCCAAAGGAUAAAAUUGAAUAUUUUAUCCGCAUCUUACCCUUAGAGUAGAAAUGUCAGGUCAAGGUGAAGUUUAUGUUUAAGUUUCAAUGAGUUAUCAAUAAAAAUAAUUUAUGGACUUUUGUUUAAAAACAAAAAUCGAAUUAAGAUUUAAAAGUAUUUUCAAUUUAAUACACCAAAAAGAAUAAGCAAAAAAGGUGUACAUAUCGCCCGUCGCCCUCGUCCAAAGAUGAGGUAAGUCGUAACACAGUUAAUGUACUGGAAAGUGUAUUAAGCGUACUAGUUCUAAGCUUCUAGUAUUUCACUUACACUGAAAAGAUGUAAUUUACUUUAUCUGAAAUCUCCUCAACAAAAUCUUUGCAGCUAUAUUUUUCUAAUCCAACACUUGAAAAACUGAAAAGGAUCGCUAAAACAAAACUUAAGUAAAUAUUUGUACCUUUUGUAUCAGGGAUUUUCAAACCUACAUGACUAUCUCAAUCUCCCGAAACAAGACGAGCUUCAUAAUUUUAAUAAAAGUUGUGGCAUAAACAUUAUAAAUUCCGUGAAGUUGAGAUAUUCUUCUCAAGUCUUCCUAUAUCUGGUUCUCUCCUUAAUUUCCUAAAAUUGUACAGGGAACAAGCUUUGUACACAAGUUUUAUCUCAAUCACUUCUCCCCAAUUUAGGUUUAACAGUAUCCUCAUUGUCCUCAAACACUAUUUUAGGUUCCUCCCAAACAAAAAUCAAGUGAACCUCCCUUCAACCUUACAAUGAAAAUAUUAGUAAAAUUUUCUAUUCUUCAUAUUUUCUAAACUCUUUUUCCUUCAUAUAACAACAUUGAAAUUAUGAACUAGGCCCUCAAUCAAUUGACUGUUUAUCAAAAACAUUGCUAAUAGAUUUUAAUUACUAGUAAUACCUGCUCAAUGAAAAUAAAUAGCCGCAAA